Long non-coding RNA from Mastomys coucha (southern multimammate mouse), 314 nucleotides. RefSeq lists it as uncharacterized. NCBI's taxonomy places the organism in Eukaryota, Metazoa, Chordata, Mammalia, Rodentia, Muridae. The transcript is spliced from 2 exons. The record is from RefSeq and is a predicted model, not a curated record.
GUGUCUGCAGAACGUAGUUCCGGAUUUGCACGUUCGACUUCCGGUGCGAUCGGCCUUUGGGGCUUGCGAAUAUUACAAGUGCUCGGCAUUAGAGUUUGGCAGGCUAAAGAGGGGUGGUGGUGCCGGAGACUUAAACUCAGGCACCCCAUACAUGGGAGGCCAACUACAUCCCAAGAGACCAUUUCAGACUACAGUUGGAAAGGGACAGAAGUCCCUCCUACACUCAGAAGGAACAUGUUUCUAACAGUCAAGUGUCUUAGGAACCAGCAAAAAUUUGUCCUUCUGCAUCUCAACAGGAUUUCUUUGUCAUCAUA